GUAUAGAGGAGUUGGACAAAAGUGCUCAGGAGACUGCUUUUCACGAAUUGGAUGCAAGUAUGUCCUCACAAGACCUAAACAUUGGCCUCAUCAAUGGUGAUGAAUUCAACCACAUUCAAAACUUGACUAUUGACUGGGAAGAUGACUUAUGGUGUCCUGAAAAGGAGUCUGUGUCAUCAUUUGAGGAAGAUGAAACCAGGGAAGUGGACUCAAACUCUGAUGAUAGUGGGGAUGAAGAUUAUGUGCCUCGUAUUUGUGUGCGAUUUACUUGAAUGCACUGCCAGCUAUAAGCAUGGAGGACUCUGUGUACGAC
This is a long non-coding RNA of Notothenia coriiceps (black rockcod), 313 nucleotides long. RefSeq lists it as uncharacterized. The transcript is spliced from 4 exons. The record is from RefSeq and is a predicted model, not a curated record. Lineage: Eukaryota; Metazoa; Chordata; Actinopteri; Perciformes; Nototheniidae.